This 1611-nucleotide ribosomal RNA is filed under the name Salmonella enterica subsp. enterica serovar Newport. RNAcentral describes it as "partial 23S ribosomal RNA". It matches the Rfam family "Bacterial large subunit ribosomal RNA", at positions 583 to 2179 of the family's 2925-position model. Lineage: Bacteria; Pseudomonadati; Pseudomonadota; Gammaproteobacteria; Enterobacterales; Enterobacteriaceae. The record is from RNAcentral.
CUUUGGGGUGUGACUGCGUACCUUUUGUAUAAUGGGUCAGCGACUUAUAUUCUGUAGCAAGGUUAACCGAAUAGGGGAGCCGGAGGGAAACCGAGUCUUAAUUGGGCGUUAAGUUGCAGGGUAUAGACCCGAAACCCGGUGAUCUAGCCAUGGGCAGGUUGAAGGUUGGGUAACACUAACUGGAGGACCGAACCGACUAAUGUUGAAAAAUUAGCGGAUGACCUGUGGCUGGGGGUGAAAGGCCAAUCAAACCGGGAGAUAGCUGGUUCUCCCCGAAAGCUAUUUAGGUAGCGCCUCGUGAAUUCAUCUCCGGGGGUAGAGCACUGUUUCGGCUAGGGGGCCAUCCCGGCUUACCAACCCGAUGCAAACUGCGAAUACCGGAGAAUGUUAUCACGGGAGACACACGGCGGGUGCUAACGUCCGUCGUGAAGAGGGAAACAACCCAGACCGCCAGCUAAGGUCCCAAAGUCAUGGUUAAGUGGGAAACGAUGUGGGAAGGCCCAGACAGCCAGGAUGUUGGCUUAGAAGCAGCCAUCAUUUAAAGAAAGCGUAAUAGCUCACUGGUCGAGUCGGCCUGCGCGGAAGAUGUAACGGGGCUAAACCAUGCACCGAAGCUGCGGCAGCGACACUGUGUGUUGUUGGGUAGGGGAGCGUUCUGUAAGCCUGUGAAGGUGUGUCGUGAGGCAUGCUGGAGGUAUCAGAAGUGCGAAUGCUGACAUAAGUAACGAUAAAGCGGGUGAAAAGCCCGCUCGCCGGAAGACCAAGGGUUCCUGUCCAACGUUAAUCGGGGCAGGGUGAGUCGACCCCUAAGGCGAGGCCGAAAGGCGUAGUCGAUGGGAAACGGGUUAAUAUUCCCGUACUUGGUGUUACUGCGAAGGGGGGACGGAGAAGGCUAUGUUGGCCGGGCGACGGUUGUCCCGGUUUAAGCGUGUAGGUGUGUGUUCCAGGUAAAUCCGGUUCACUUUAACACUGAGGCGUGACGACGAGGCACUACGGUGCUGAAGCAACAAAUGCCCUGCUUCCAGGAAAAGCCUCUAAGCAUCAGGUAACAUCAAAUCGUACCCCAAACCGACACAGGUGGUCAGGUAGAGAAUACCAAGGCGCUUGAGAGAACUCGGGUGAAGGAACUAGGCAAAAUGGUGCCGUAACUUCGGGAGAAGGCACGCUGACACGUAGGUGAAGUGAUUUACUCAUGGAGCUGAAGUCAGUCGAAGAUACCAGCUGGCUGCAACUGUUUAUUAAAAACACAGCACUGUGCAAACACGAAAGUGGACGUAUACGGUGUGACGCCUGCCCGGUGCCGGAAGGUUAAUUGAUGGGGUCAGCGCAAGCGAAGCUCCUGAUCGAAGCCCCGGUAAACGGCGGCCGUAACUAUAACGGUCCUAAGGUAGCGAAAUUCCUUGUCGGGUAAGUUCCGACCUGCACGAAUGGCGUAAUGAUGGCCAGGCUGUCUCCACCCGAGACUCAGUGAAAUUGAACUCGCUGUGAAGAUGCAGUGUACCCGCGGCAAGACGGAAAGACCCCGUGAACCUUUACUAUAGCUUGACACUGAACAUUGAGCCUUGAUGUGUAGGAUAGGUGGGAGGCUUUGAAGUGUGGACGCCAGUCUGC